CCUCCUUCUAUAAAUACGCAAAAACCCUCCCCUUAACAAACCCUCUUUCCCCUAACCCUAAUCGUCGGGUUUUGCCCUCAAACCAAUUCAUCAGCAAGAGAAACACUAGAUCCACAGAUCUGUCCUCUCCUUUUCUAUCUAAGGAUGGUUUCCGACGCCAGCAAAAAGAAGGCCGCACAGAAGAAGGCGGCGGCGGCGGCUAAGAGGGGCGGAAAGGCAGCUGCCGCAGCUGCAUCGUCCAAAGCUACUGCUGCUGCUGCU
This 261-nucleotide unclassified non-coding RNA is filed under the name Hevea brasiliensis (rubber tree). Lineage: Eukaryota; Viridiplantae; Streptophyta; Magnoliopsida; Malpighiales; Euphorbiaceae. The record is from RNAcentral.